This 229-nucleotide ribosomal RNA is filed under the name uncultured bacterium. Its description in RNAcentral is "partial 16S ribosomal RNA". It matches the Rfam family "Bacterial small subunit ribosomal RNA", at positions 95 to 339 of the family's 1533-position model. The record is from RNAcentral.
GCGGCGGACGGCAGAGUAACGCGUAGGAACAUACCCCAAAGUGAGGAAUAACUGCCCGAAAGGGUAGCUAAUACCGCAUGUGAUCUUAGGAUUAAAGCCUUAGGGCGCUUUGGGAAUGGCCUGCGUUCGAUUAGCUAGUUGGUGAGGUAAAUGCUCACCAAGGCGACGAUCGAUAGCUGGUCUGAGAGGAUGAUCAGCCUGACUGGAACUGAGACACGGUCCAGACUCC